GUGUCGCCAGACGCAUUGCCCGGUAGCUAAGUUCGGAAUUGAUAAGCGCUGAAAGCAUCUAAGCGCGAAGCGAGCCCUGAGAUGAGUCUUCCCUGACAGUUUAACUGUCCUAAAGGGUUGUUCGAGACUAGAACGUUGAUAGGCAGGGUGUGUAAGCGUUGUGAGGCGUUGAGCUAACCUGUACUAAUUGCCCGUGAGGCUUAACCAU
RNAcentral lists this ribosomal RNA (208 nucleotides) under Vibrio cholerae TM 11079-80. RNAcentral describes it as "23S ribosomal RNA". It matches the Rfam family "Bacterial large subunit ribosomal RNA", at positions 2723 to 2925 of the family's 2925-position model. Lineage: Bacteria; Pseudomonadati; Pseudomonadota; Gammaproteobacteria; Vibrionales; Vibrionaceae. The record is from RNAcentral.